Molecule: long non-coding RNA, 1260 nt
Filed under: Pan troglodytes (chimpanzee)
Lineage: Eukaryota; Metazoa; Chordata; Mammalia; Primates; Hominidae
Description: long non-coding RNA NONPTRT001786
Source: RNAcentral
UAGGAUUCACCAUAAGUAAUGUAAAUAGUCUAAAGCAUCAAUUAACUUACUUCAUUAAGCUCACAGCUAUUACCACCACACCAUUAUUUCUUUUUUUUUUCCUUUUAAUUACAUUUAUUUUAAUGCUGAAUUUACUCCCGUGCCAUAAGUUUUUGUUUCUUCAGUUUCUUCUGGGAUAUCUUUUUCUUCUGGGCAACCUCCUCUUCUGGUUUAGGAACAAUCUGUUCCUUUUCAGUAAAGAUCAUCUCAAUGUGGCAGGAAGAGCUCAUGUAUGGGUUAAUCCAUGAGCUCUGUAGGUCUGUUGAUGCAUCUUAGGUGCUUUGUUCACUUGGAUAUGCUCAAUGACCAGAGAAUCUACCCUUAAGUUCAGCAUUACUCUCUGUGUUUUUAAGCACGUGCAGCAAAAAUUCAGCACUCUUUUUGGGCCACCGACCUUGUGGCCCAAACAGGCUAAGUGGUGAGCAUUUUAGUUAAGAAGGGAUAAAAAAACAGGCUAAGUGGUGAGCAUUUUAGUUAAGAAGGCCCAGUGUUGUUAUGCAGGACUUUCCGUUAAAAAAAAAAAAAAACGAAAUAUUUUAACUCAAGUAGGUUUAAUUCACCACAGAAGAGCUAAGAGAAAAGAGAGGGGGUUGGUAAAAUACAGUAUACUUUCUUUAAAAAAGACUUGGGAGGAAAAAAAUCAACUUAGAAGAUCAUAUGAAAGGGCAAUCACAUGGAACCCAGUUAGUGUCCUAGUUUAUUACUAGUCUUCAGAUCCAGAAAACAGAGUAAGACACUAGGUAAACAGAACACCUAGACACAUCUGUAAGGCAUUUGUUUCCUAUCACACGGCCCAUUCUAGCUUAACACCCACCAACUGAGAUGUAGUGAAAUACUAAAAUUGGAUGCUCAAAUUAUGUUUUUAUCCAACCAAAAAGUUCUUUAAAUAUAAAAUUCCUCACUUUAAACUCUUCUGUGAUACCAACAGAACUUUAAGGUUUUACAUAUGCAAUAUGAUGAUUUCGUGUUACUUUUAAAAGAACCCACAAAGUAAGCAAUUGUCCACAGAUGAAACAUGGGAUGAGGUUCAUGACUGAAUCAAUCAUGGAGUGUUAGUCAAUUGUAAACUCCUGAAAGUUAAGACUAGGAAAUGUGUAUAUCAGACACAUAAGAGUACAACAAUAGGAGAAAAAGGGAAGCCUGUUUGUCAUUCCAAUUCUGACAAGGUACAAGGUCUUCGAAAUUCUUGUCCACGUUCAUGGAGCCAUUUAUUGGAUACUG